This is a non-coding RNA of Bacillus smithii, 172 nucleotides long. The record is from Rfam. Lineage: Bacteria; Bacillati; Bacillota; Bacilli; Caryophanales; Bacillaceae.
UUGAUAAUAAUAGCGCCCGAACUAAGCCCAGAGCGGAGAAAACAGGCUUAGUUGACGAGGAGGAGGUUUAUCGAGUUUUCGGCGGAUGCCUCCCGGUUGAACGCACAGCCGUGAAUUCUCUUCUUAAAACAUCAGGGCGACCUGGUGGACAAAGGAAGGGAAAUGCGAUUUC